UGGCGGUGUUUUAGACCUAUUAGGGGAACCUGUUUCAUAAUCGACAAUCCGCGUUAAACCUAACCCUAUUUUGUACUCAGUUUGUAUACCGUCGUCGUCAGGUAACUUUUAAAAAACUAGAAGUUAGCAACAAGAAUUUUGUAAAUUAAAACGUCAGAUCAAGGUGCAGCUAAUAAAAGGGAGAGAAUGGGUUACAAUUAUUUUAUUUAUAAUUACGGAAAGCUGCAUGAAGUAUAGCUGGAAGGAGGACUUAAAAGUAAAAUAGAGUAUAUAAACAAUUUGAAUAUGGCUCUGAAACGUGC
RNAcentral lists this ribosomal RNA (302 nucleotides) under Neptunea antiqua. RNAcentral's name for it is "partial 12S ribosomal RNA". The record is from RNAcentral. Lineage: Eukaryota; Metazoa; Mollusca; Gastropoda; Neogastropoda; Buccinidae.